Molecule: microRNA precursor, 103 nt
Filed under: Marmota monax (woodchuck)
Lineage: Eukaryota; Metazoa; Chordata; Mammalia; Rodentia; Sciuridae
Source: RNAcentral
AGUGGGAUAGCUGGGUCAAAUGGUGGUUCCAUUCCAAGUUAUCUGAGGAAUCUCCAUACUGUUUUCCAUAGUGGUUGCAUCAAUUUGCAGUCCCACCAGCAAU